RNAcentral lists this ribosomal RNA (497 nucleotides) under uncultured soil bacterium. RNAcentral describes it as "bacterial SSU rRNA". It matches the Rfam family "Bacterial small subunit ribosomal RNA", at positions 26 to 519 of the family's 1533-position model. The record is from RNAcentral.
AGAUUGAACGCUGGCGGAAUGCUUUACACAUGCAAGUCGAACGGCAGCACGGGGGUAACCCUGGUGGCGAGUGGCGAACGGGUGAGUAAUACAUCGGAACGUGCCCAGUCGUGGGGGAUAACGUAGCGAAAGCUACGCUAAUACCGCAUACGAACUCUGGUUGAAAGCGGGGGACUCGCAAGAGCCUCGCGCGAUUGGAGCGGCCGAUGGCAGAUUAGGUAGUUGGUGGGGUAAAGGCUCACCAAGCCUGCGAUCUGUAGCUGGUCUGAGAGGACGACCAGCCACACUGGGACUGAGACACGGCCCAGACUCCUACGGGAGGCAGCAGUGGGGAAUUUUUGGACAAUGGGCGCAAGCCUGAUCCAGCCAUUCCGCGUGCAGGAUGAAGGCCCUGGUGAAACUGCUUUGGACGGAACGAAAAGCCGCUCUCUAAUACAGGCGGUCAGUGACGGUACCGUCAGAAUAAGCACCGCUAACUACGUAGCCGAGCAGACCCG